UAGAUGCGAGAGUAGAGCAUAUCAAUAAGCGGAGGAAAAGAAACUAACAAGGAUUCCCUUAGUAACGGCGAGUGAAGCGGGAAGAGCUCAAAUUUGAAAUCUUCAAGGUUCUACCUUGACGAAUUGUAGUUUAUAGGAGUGUUUUCUGUUAGUGGAGUGGCAAAAGUUCUUUGGAAUAGGACAUCAUAGAGGGUGAGAAUCCCGUAUUUGGUCAUUCCUCCUAGCGUUGUGAUACACUUUCAACGAGUCGGAUUGUUUGGGAAUGCAGUCCAAAAUGGGUGGUAAAUUUCAUCUAAAGCUAAAUAUUGGCGAGAGACCGAUAGCGAACAAGUACCGUGAGGGAAAGAUGAAAAGAACUUUGAAAAGAGAGUUAAACAGUACGUGAAAUUGUCAAAAGGGAAGCGUUUGACACCAGUGUUGUUUUUCCGAAAAUCAAUUACGAAUGUUUUAUUUUGAGAAGUUAUGACUUCAUCGGCUUGCUCCUUUCUUUAUGAAACUUUCUUAAUGCACUUUUCGGUUAACAAGUCAACAUCAAUUUCUUUUGUUGUAAAAGGGUACGAGGAAGGUGGCUUUCUUUUCGGAGAAAGUGUUUAUAGCCUUGUACCUCUGCAAUCGGAGAGAUUGAGGUCUGCAGCGUAGAUCCUUCGGGUUAGAUACAUUUGUGCUAAGUUAUAGCUUUUCAUAGACAACUUGUUGACUAUGUUAGUCUUGUAGCUUACUCGCUGACUGCUAUUUUACCUACGCUUAGGAUGUUGACACACGCGCGUGCUCG
RNAcentral lists this ribosomal RNA (772 nucleotides) under uncultured Neocallimastigales. RNAcentral's name for it is "partial large subunit ribosomal RNA". It matches the Rfam family "Eukaryotic large subunit ribosomal RNA", at positions 22 to 643 of the family's 3401-position model. The record is from RNAcentral. Lineage: Eukaryota; Fungi; Neocallimastigomycota; Neocallimastigomycetes; Neocallimastigales.